UUCUGAUCUCUCACUGAGCAGUCUUUCCUUUCACCCCAAAGUGUCCCCUUCUCAGAUCUUCCCCCACACACUGCAGGCAUUCCCCUCGCCGCCGUCCUUCUCUUUUUAGUUUUUCUUUAUGUUGAUCUUUUACUUCUUUUACCCGUUGCUGCUUUUUACUUUGCUAGCAGAGAUCCCCUCCUCAUCCCCGUUUUCUUUUUUCCAUCUUUUCCUUCGCGCUUUCGGCCUCGCCCCUUUCUCCAGGUCUUCAUUCACCCCUCUUUCCUGUAUUUGCUUCUUCCUUCCCAUUUCCACUUUCUUAAGCCCCAUCCCUAACAAUUCAAUCAAGACUGCCUGACAUCCCUCCUCCCUUUCUCAGGCACUUUUCAAAUCUCCAACCACCUUCCGCCCCCUCCUCCUUCACUCCUGUCCCCCUCUUUCUCUCCUUCCUUUUCCUGAACCCCCGCUCUUUCACUCCUCUCCCUACUUUCCGCUUCGUCUCCCCUCCCCCACUCCCUGCUUUACACCAGCCGGAGAUGAGCUCAUUGGAGUCAGGCCAAGCAGAGAAAAAGCCGGAAGACUCAGGGAGGGCUAGUUUGGGGUUUGGGGAAGUGCUAGGAAAGGCUGGGUCGGAAUUUUGGUUGCUUGUUCUAAAAGGGGGAUCCUGCCAGACGCCCUGUCUUAUAUGUUGGGGACUUCUCUUUGCAACGGCCAGGGAAGAAGAGAUAUGGAAUUUGGAGAAGAUAAACAGUAUUUGAGAAAACUGACAAAAGAGGAAGGAACUGGGACUGUACAAGCUGAGCAGCAACCAUGAUGGGAGCUUAAUGAGUCAAACUCUAAAGAAGUGACAACAAGAAGGCAAUGGACAAGGAACAAGACAAAUGGAGAACUAGGCUGCCACAAAACAGGGAGAUAUUGAGAUGGGUCAUUGGAUUCCUACAGGCAUUUUGGGACAAAUAACAGGGGCUUAAAUUGCCAAUUAUAAUUAGUUUUUUUAAGGAUGGAGUUAAGUUCCAAAAGCUCUAUCCCCCUCUGCACAUACUUCCUUUCUCUUAACUUAUUCAUUCAGUAAUUGCCACUGUUAUAUGCUCUUGUUUUCUUUUAUCUGUUUCCUAUAUCCUGAUUUUGCUUUAUAUAUGAGGAAACUUGGAGGCUUGUAUUGUAAACUCCGGUUUGCACUAUGAAAAGGGAAAUGAGGAACUCGGAGGUUAUUUGAAAUAACCCAAACUUUAAGUUAGACCACAGAAAGAAACCAAUAAUGAAAGUUAAGAAGUUUCUAUCUGGGGGCUCUGAGCUACCAUGAUUUCAUUAAUAAAUUUCACUUGGUAUAAACUCCA
Molecule: long non-coding RNA, 1316 nt
Filed under: Monodelphis domestica (gray short-tailed opossum)
Lineage: Eukaryota; Metazoa; Chordata; Mammalia; Didelphimorphia; Didelphidae
Description: lncRNA (ENSMODG00000046882.1)
Source: RNAcentral